RNAcentral lists this long non-coding RNA (792 nucleotides) under Takifugu rubripes (torafugu). Its description in RNAcentral is "lncRNA (ENSTRUG00000026445.1)". The record is from RNAcentral. Lineage: Eukaryota; Metazoa; Chordata; Actinopteri; Tetraodontiformes; Tetraodontidae.
ACGGUACGUAGCGGCUGCUUUUAGCCUCACCAUACGGGGAAUUGUCAGCAACCUAAGAUUGCUUUCUCUUUUAACAGAAAUUGUUACAGGUGCCGGCUCUCGUGCGCUUUCCUCCCGUUGCCCGGCUGCUGUUUUGCCCUCCGCAUCGCGUUAUCGCGUAUGCUCCCGACUGUCACUCUCGUCUACCUCUGCGAGGUAUCAUCGUGUGGGGUCCAAUCUAAAGUGCGAGUGUGUGAGUGUACUGCGCCUCUAGGAGGACUAGGGCUGCCUUUAUUUUGGGUUUAAUGUUUUGUUGUGGGGGUUAUUUUGCAUGUUUAUUUGGGGUUGAUUUGUGAUUAUUGUUUGUGUGGGUUAUUUUGCAUGUUUAUUUGGGUUUGACUAAGUGUGCUUUUUGCUCGUGUGGGUUAUUUUUGCAUGUUAUUUGGAUUUGAUUAAUUGUGUUAUUUGUGUGCUGUGUGGGUUAUUUUUGUAUGUUUAUUUGGGUUCUUCUAUUGUGUACGUUUUUCUUUCAUUUUCUAAGCGGCGUCGAUCCUACCCUGUGGGGUGCAGGUGUUUUAAAGAUAAUUGUAAAAUCUCGAAUAUGAAUUUAAUAUCUGCACGUUGAGUGUGUGUGAAUGGGUGUGUGAGAGUAUUUUAGCAAUUAUUGUUAGCGGAUAAUCGGGAAUAAAGGUAUUAAUUUUGUACAUUGGACCAGUCUCUUAUCCUCAUUAGGAACACUUGUGCGGCCUUGAUAAUUCUCCAGGCGGAAUUCCUGGGGUGGCGUUGUCGACUUUGCAAAGAGAUAUACCGAGC